Non-coding RNA from Pelobates cultripes (western spadefoot toad), 371 nucleotides. The record is from the annotation of a GenBank genome assembly. Lineage: Eukaryota; Metazoa; Chordata; Amphibia; Anura; Pelobatidae.
GUGCCGUCUGUGCUGAGGUAUAUUGCCAUAGAUCUCUUUAAAGAUUUUAGAUUGAAUGAAGAUUUGAUUGUGUCCCUGAGGUUAUUCCAUAAUUGGGGUGCUCUGUAGGAAAAGGAGGAUCAAGACACUUUAAUUUCAUAUUGUGGUAUGCUAAAUAUCGUGCUAGUACUGUAUCGGAGGUGGGAACAGCUGGUGAGAGCAUUCUACUCAGGUAGGGGGGGAGUUUCCCAGAAAUGCUCUUAUACACAAGGCUGGAAAAAUGAAGGUUGCGUCUGGAUUCCAGCGUUAGCAAGUUUAGCUCUUUUAACAUGUCACAAUGGUGGGUAAGGUAAUUACAUUCUAAUACAAAGCGGCAGAACGAGUUAUAUAAC